CUAUUACUUCCUCCGUCCAACAAAGGAUGUCUCAACUUUGACUAAAUUUUAAUGCAUCUAUAUACUAAAUCAUGUAGAUACAUCCAAAUUUUGACAAACUUGAGACAUCUUUUGUUGGAAGGAGGGAGUAGUAU
Non-coding RNA from Brachypodium distachyon (stiff brome), 134 nucleotides. Lineage: Eukaryota; Viridiplantae; Streptophyta; Magnoliopsida; Poales; Poaceae. The record is from Rfam.